UCAAAUUUGAAAUCUGGGUCUUUUAGGCUCCGAGUUGUAAUUUGUAGAAGAUGCUUUGGGUGCGGCCCCGGUCUAAGUUCCUUGGAACAGGACGUCAUAGAGGGUGAGAAUCCCGUAUGUGAUCGGUGGCUUGCGCCCGUGUAAAGCUCUUUCGACGAGUCGGGUUGUUUGGGAAUGCAGCUCUAAAUGGGUGGUAAAUUUCAUCUAAAGCUAAAUAUUGGCCAGAGACCGAUAGCGCACAAGUAGAGUGAUCGAAAGAUGAAAAGCACUUUGGAAAGAGAGUUAAACAGUACGUGAAAUUGUUGAAAGGGAAGCGCUUGCAACCAGACUUGCGCGGGGUUGAUCAUCCGGGGUUCUCCCCGGUGCACUCGGCCUCGCUCAGGCCAGCAUCGGUUUUGGUGGUUGGAUAAAGGCCUUGGGAAUGUGACUUCUUUCGGGGAGUGUUAUAGCCCUCGGUGCAAUGCAGCCUACCGGGACCGAGGACCGCGCUUCGGCUAGGAUGCUGGCGUAAUGGUUGUAAGCGACCCGUCUUGAAACACGGACCAAGGAGUCUAACAUCUAUGCGAGUGUUUGGGUGUCAAACCCAUACGCGUAAUGAAAGUGAACGGAGGUGAGAACCCUUAAGGGUGCAUCAUCGACCGAUCCUGAUGUCUUCGGAUGGAUUUGAGUAAGAGCAUAGCUGUUGGGACCCGAAAGAUGGUGAACUAUGCCUGAAUAGGGUGAAGCCAGAGGAAACUCUGGUGGAGGCUCGCAGCGGUUCUGACGUGCAAAUCGAUCGUCAAAUUUGGGCAUAG
RNAcentral lists this ribosomal RNA (794 nucleotides) under Pezicula cinnamomea. Its description in RNAcentral is "eukaryotic LSU rRNA". It matches the Rfam family "Eukaryotic large subunit ribosomal RNA", at positions 109 to 920 of the family's 3401-position model. Lineage: Eukaryota; Fungi; Ascomycota; Leotiomycetes; Helotiales; Dermateaceae. The record is from RNAcentral.